Molecule: ribosomal RNA, 433 nt
Filed under: uncultured bacterium
Lineage: Bacteria
Description: partial 16S ribosomal RNA
Rfam family: Bacterial small subunit ribosomal RNA
Source: RNAcentral
AACGAACGCUGGCGGCAUGCCUAACACAUGCAAGUCGAACGAGACCUUCGGGUCUAGUGGCGCACGGGUGCGUAACGCGUGGGAACCUGCCCUUAGGGUCGGAAUAACUCCCCGAAAGGGGUGCUAAUACCGGAUAAUGUCUUCGGACCAAAGAUUUAUCGCACUUGGAUGGACCCGCGUUGGAUUAGCUAGUUGGUAGGGUAAAAGCCUCCUAAGGCGACAAUCCAUAGCUGGUCUGUGAGAAUGGUCAGCCACACUUAGACUGAGACGCGGCCCAGACUCCUACGGGAGGCAGGAGUGGGGAAUAGAGGAAAGUGGGCGGAGGCCUGAUGCAGCAAGGCCGCGAGAGUGAUGAAAGCCGUGGAGUUGUAAAGCUCUUUUACCCAGGAUGAUAAUGACAGUACCGGGAGAAUAAGCCCCGGCUAACUCCGUG